CUACGGGUCGCUGCAGUGAGGAAUAUUGCGCAAUGGGCGAAAGCCUGAUGCAGCAACGCCGCGUGGAGGAUGACACUUUUCGGAGCGUAAACUCCUUUUAUAUAGGAAGAAGAUGACGGUACUAUAUGAAUAAGCGCCGGCUAACUCCGUGCCAGCAGCCGCGGUAAUACGGAGGGCGCAAGCGUUACUCGGAAUCACUGGGCGUAAAGAGCGUGUAGGCGGAUUAAAAAGUCAGAAGUGAAAUCCUAUAGCUUAACUAUAGAACUGCUUCUGAAACUCUUAAUCUAGAAUAUGGGAGAGGUAGAUGGAAUUUCUGGUGUAGGGGUAAUAUCCGUAGAGAUCAGAAGGAAUACCGAUUGCGAAGGCGAUCUACUAGAACAUUAUUGACGCUGAGACGCGAAAGCGUGGGGAGCAAACAGGAUUAGAUACCCGCGUAGUC
RNAcentral lists this ribosomal RNA (439 nucleotides) under uncultured bacterium. RNAcentral describes it as "partial 16S ribosomal RNA". It matches the Rfam family "Bacterial small subunit ribosomal RNA", at positions 339 to 795 of the family's 1533-position model. The record is from RNAcentral.